CCCAAAAUAUAAAGGCUAGGGCACACCCUUCUCAGGCACUAAUGUCAGAGACAGCCUGGGACCAAACCACGAAGGAUCUGCAGGAAACCAGUUAUUUUUGAACUUGGAGAUGACCUCUCUUCUAGCUGUAGCAGUUCACUGUUCAAUCCUAACUCAGUGGCUAACACAACAGGUGACUGGCCUGGCAUGGAUGACCAAGUCAUGUCAGCUAGACAUGGCUGACAAUGCUUUUGAUGAUCAGUAUGAGGGCUGUACUGAAGAAAUGGAGAAGAAAGCACCCCGGCUGUUAAAAAAAGAACUGGAAGUGAAUAAAAAUUUUAAAAAUGAAUGGGACAUGGCAAAGAUAAAAUGGAAGCAAAUACAGAACAAAAAUUAUCCAAAACAAUUCAAUGAUUUCCAUGGCACAGCUCUAGUGGCCUAUACUGGGAAAAUUGCAACAGAAUUUAACAAAGCUGUAAGGGAAUUCCAUCAGAAUUCACAUAAUUUUCAGUUCAAAGCCUUCCAUUAUUAUUUGACAAGAGCUCUUCAGCUUCUCAGUACAGGGAAAUGUUACACAGUCUAUAGAGGUUGUGACACCAAACUUCAUGACAAUGGGAAAGGAAAAAUACGUUUUGGCCAAAUUGCCUCAUCGUCUUUGGCUAUGUCUGUACCAUUAAGGUUUCUAGGAGAAAAUGGAACCCUGUUUAUCAUCAAGACCUGCAUGGGUGUUAAUAUUCAAGAAUUUACUAUGCAUCCAGCUGAAGAGGAAGUGCUAAUUCCAGGCUACGAGGUGUAUCAGGAAGUCACCAUGCAAAACUCAGAUAAAAAAUACAACGAAAUUUUACUUGAAAGUCCCACAAAACUUAAGAGUAAUGUCAAUUGCUUCUAUAGUUCCACUAACAAU
This is a long non-coding RNA of Hipposideros armiger (great roundleaf bat), 883 nucleotides long. RefSeq lists it as uncharacterized. NCBI's taxonomy places the organism in Eukaryota, Metazoa, Chordata, Mammalia, Chiroptera, Hipposideridae. The transcript has 3 exons. The record is from RefSeq and is a predicted model, not a curated record.